CUGAAAAAAAAAUUUCAGGUUUGUGCCAAAGAACCCUAAUUCUCUCCUUCAUACUCUUUUUUUCCUUAAAAAAAAUUCAAAUUCGCUGCGCCCACUCAUACUCUCGCUAAAGAAAUCUGAAACUAAAUAAUUUCUUUGAGAUCAAUCUGGACAUUCACCACAUUGAAGGUAAACUAGUUCUCCAAAUUUAGGUUCUCAUUUGAAACAUAUAUUGUUAUUCACCAACAGAUCAAUCUUUUUUGCAAUCUCUCUCUAUGAAUAGAGUUCUAAUUUUGGUUUUCAAAAGUUCUUUGCUAGGGUUUUGCUUAAUUGAGCGACUCUUCAAUGAUUCAAUUCUAAUUGGGUAAGGUAAUUUGUUUUUUCCUUUUAUGAUUUGGGAGCAUUUACUUAUUCUUUGUAAUUAUGUUAAAAAAAAAAAGGUAUAAUCUUUGUUAAAUUGGAUUCUCUGUGAUUCCUUGAAGGUUGAACACUAAUAACAAUUCAUUAAUAAACCAAACAGGAUGCCAGAUUAGAUAAGUGUUCAGGUUUAAUUGUAUAUAUUGAACCAUUCAUCUCUGGCUUUGUGAAGUAUGCCUUAAAUAAAUAUAUUUGGCUUUCAGCAUUUUAGCUUAGUAAGUGAAAAAUGCAGAAAUGCAAACUAGUUAGUGAACAAGCUAAUGUAAAAUUCUUUAUGUGGUCAUAUUAUUGGGAUGGUCUCCUAACCGUGGACAAGCUCCAACGAAGGGGAAUGGUGUUGUCUAAUAGAGUAAUAGGUGUUUGUCUUUGUAAGGAGGCAGAAGAGAGUAGUGAACAUCUCUUCAUGACCUGCAGGUUCACUAGGCAAAUUUGGGAGGAGUUGUUAGUGGUUAAGAGGGAAACACAGCACACACUGGACAGCUGGACUGCAUCCUCUGAACUGCUCACAAACUGGCGGGAAUUCAACAGUACAAAGAUUGCUCAGUUCCUAUGUGGAGUCUUGCCCGAUGGAGUGAUGUGGUUCAUCUGGAAAACAAGGAAUGGCGUGAUUUUUAGGGAAGGUGAAACAACAGUGGACAAAACAGUGCAGGCCGUCAAGGCGACAAUAUGGAGUUGGAUGAAUAUAAGUCCUAAAGUAAUGGAGAUGAGACAGAACAAGAGGUACACAGAUUUACUAUUUGGAUGAUAUGCCAGCCUUGUUUUCUUCCAUUGUUUCGCAUUUAUAACUCAUAAGUUGUAGUCAUAGAUAUGAUAAUACUUAUAAAAAAUUCUGGCGGUAAUCAGAUAUAUAUGCUGGUUGGUUAGUUUAGAAAAGCAUGGUCCCAGAGUUUUAUUCUAGUUUCGUACUCUUUUCUAAGCAAUUGUCUAACAAUAUACAAAUGUAAGCUGUUGCUUACCAGUUAACUCCUUAUGUAAUUUUUUUUAUGUAAUUUGUUAAUUAUAUCACCAA
RNAcentral lists this long non-coding RNA (1405 nucleotides) under Aquilegia coerulea. RNAcentral describes it as "long non-coding RNA (ACOE_LNC002082)". The record is from RNAcentral. Lineage: Eukaryota; Viridiplantae; Streptophyta; Magnoliopsida; Ranunculales; Ranunculaceae.